GACGAACGCUGGCGGCGUGCUUAACACAUGCAAGUCGAACGGAAAGGCCCUGCUUUUGUGGGGUGCUCGAGUGGCGAACGGGUGAGUAACACGUGAGUAACCUGCCCUUGUCUUUGGGAUAACUUCAGGAAACUGGGGCUAAUACCGGAUAGGAGCUCCUGCUGCAUGGUGGGGGUUGGAAAGUUUCGGCGGUUGGGGAUGGACUCGCGGCUUAUCAGCUUGUUGGUGGGGUAGUGGCUUACCAAGGCUUUGACGGGUAGCCGGCCUGAGAGGGUGACCGGCCACAUUAGGACUGAGGUACGGCCCAGACGCGUACGUGAGGCAACAGUGGAGAAUAUGGCACAAUAGGCGGAAGCCUGAUGCAGCAACGCCGCGUGCGGGAUGACGGCCUUCGGGUUGUAAACCGCUUUCGCCUGUGACGAAGCGGGAGUGACGGUAAUGGGUAAAGAAGCACCGGCUAACUACGUG
This 468-nucleotide ribosomal RNA is filed under the name uncultured bacterium. Its description in RNAcentral is "partial 16S ribosomal RNA". It matches the Rfam family "Bacterial small subunit ribosomal RNA", at positions 28 to 507 of the family's 1533-position model. The record is from RNAcentral.